AAACCAACAGGGAUUGCCUCAGUAACGGCGAGUGAAGCGGCAAAAGCUCAAAUUUGAAAUCCCCCCGGGGAGUUGUAAUUUGAAGAUUGCGUCUUGGAGGCGACCGUGUCUAUGUUCCUUGGAACAGGACGUCACAGAGGGUGAGAAUCCCGUGCGGCACGGCCCCCGGCUCCUUAUAAGGCGCUCUCGACGAGUCGAGUUGUUUGGGAAUGCAGCUCAAAGUGGGUGGUAAAUUCCAUCUAAAGCUAAAUACAGGCGAGAGACCGAUAGCGAACAAGUACAGUGAUGGAAAGAUGAAAAGCACUUUGAAAAGAGAGUGAAACAGCACGUGAAAUUGUUGAAAGGGAAGGGCAUGCCGUCAGAUUGUCAGUGUGGGUAAGAAGCGGGGUACAAAGACUGUGGAACGUGGCCCUCGGGUGUUAUAGCCGCAGUUCAUGCCCCGUCUCUUUCCGAGGCCUGCUUUGAGGACACCGACGUAAUGACGGUACGCCGCCCGUCUUGAAACACGGACCACCGUCUGAAACACGGACCACC
Molecule: ribosomal RNA, 534 nt
Filed under: Kodamaea ohmeri
Lineage: Eukaryota; Fungi; Ascomycota; Pichiomycetes; Serinales; Debaryomycetaceae
Description: eukaryotic LSU rRNA
Rfam family: Eukaryotic large subunit ribosomal RNA
Source: RNAcentral